RNAcentral lists this ribosomal RNA (254 nucleotides) under uncultured bacterium. RNAcentral describes it as "partial 16S ribosomal RNA". It matches the Rfam family "Bacterial small subunit ribosomal RNA", at positions 524 to 776 of the family's 1533-position model. The record is from RNAcentral.
UACGGGGGGGGCAAGCGUUGUUCGGAUUUACUGGGCGUAAAGGGCGCGUAGGCGGUCAGCACAAGUCAAUUGUGAAAUCUCCGAGCUUAACUCGGAAAGGUCAACUGAAACUGUGCGACUAGAGUGCGGAAGGGGCAACUGGAAUUCUUGGUGUAGCGGUGAAAUGCGUAGAUAUCAAGAGGAACACCUGCGGCGAAGGCGGGUUGCUGGGCCGACACUGACGCUGAAGCGCGAAAGCCAGGGGAGCGAACGGG